UAUCAUUAUCCAACUCAUCUCCCCAUGUGAGCUCAUUUACUGUUGCAGAGCCUCUUACAUCUCCAUAUAAAUUAGCUUCUACGUUUUUCUUUAGUAGCCUCAGUCUAUCUGGGAGGUCAGUGAGAAUAACUUGAGCACCCAAAAGAGCUGCAACACAGCCAACUAAUCCACAGCCAGAGCCCAAUUCAACGACUUUCUUGCCUUGAAGAUGAAUUCUUUCUGAUUCUACAGCAUGCUCCAAGAA
This 244-nucleotide unclassified non-coding RNA is filed under the name Hevea brasiliensis (rubber tree). The record is from RNAcentral. Lineage: Eukaryota; Viridiplantae; Streptophyta; Magnoliopsida; Malpighiales; Euphorbiaceae.